Long non-coding RNA from Gallus gallus (chicken), 754 nucleotides. The record is from Ensembl. Lineage: Eukaryota; Metazoa; Chordata; Aves; Galliformes; Phasianidae.
GUAAGGCCUAACAUCAUGAAAUGAAACCAAAACAAUGUCAAAGCCCUGCAAGAAUGAUGGAGUCCCAUCCAUCACUUAAGAAGAGAAGCUGAGAGCAAAUGUAAAGCCUUCAGAACACUGGAACAGCUGAAACAACUGACAUCCUCUGAAAUGAAUAGAAAUGAUAUAUGUUGAAAAAAGCAGAGAGCAGUAAGCAGCAGGAGAAUGAUAAAUAAUGGUUACAUUUCCUGUGUUAGAAAAGUGAACAAACAAACAAACAAACAAACAAACCAUGGAUAAAAUGGACCAUAGGAUCUUUAAGGUUGGAAAAGACCACUAUGAUCAUCUAGUCUAAUCACCAACACAACCCACCCACUUGGUGGAAGACUAAAAAACAGAAGCGAAAGUGAAAUUGUCAACUAAAUAAGCUUCCUCUGAGCACUGUUGAUGCUGCCGAGUUUUAAACAAAAACGUGUACAGAAAAGGGUUUUAUCAAGAGAUUAUUUAGAUGCUCCAUGUCAUCGAUCAGAUCUGUUUUACCACCAGCUGGAGCCAAUUUUGGACCCACUACACUACCCUCUUUCAUCUCAGCAGUGCCCCUGCACACAUGCUGUUGCAGGACCACCCCAGGAGAGCAACCUGAUGGAGAAAAGCCAGAAGGCCCCAGCAAGCAGCUUCCCAGCCAAAUGGCCUUGGUGGUGUGUGAGCAUCCCACUGUGUAGCUAUUUGACAACAAUCAGUUGCUCACAGGUGGUAAUUUCAGCAGUGAAUUGUG